Molecule: long non-coding RNA, 518 nt
Filed under: Homo sapiens (human)
Lineage: Eukaryota; Metazoa; Chordata; Mammalia; Primates; Hominidae
Description: non-protein coding lnc-RPL22L1-2:1
Source: RNAcentral
GUCUCUUGGAACUGCCGCGGCCGCCACCGCCGCUGCCGGCGCCGCUGCUGUAGGGGACCAGCGCGGGUGCGCAGACGAAAGGCGCUCUUUGCCAGCUGAAAGCUGAUAUGCAUUCAAGAUGGUUACCUUUCCCUGCUGACAGAAACUGGUGAAGUUCGUGAGGAUCUUAAACUGCCAGAAGGUGAACUAGGCAAAGAAAUAGAGGGAAAAUACAAUGCAGGUGAAGAUGUACAGGUGUCUGUCAUGUGUGCAAUGAGUGAAGAAUAUGCUGUAGCCAUAAAACCCUGCAAAUAAACGGAAACAUCAGGCAUGAACACUGUUUAUGUCUGAAUCAACUGCAGAUCUAAUUUGGUUCUAAGUUGUCACCAAAGCUAUAGCCUUCAUAAGCAACCUCAUUUCUUUUUUUAAUUGUUUUCAGAUUGUGCUGGGUUAGUUUUGCAAGCAAUUGAUAAUUUUUAAAAAAUUAUCAAUAUGUAUAAUUUUUUUUGAAUUUUGUAGAUAUGUUUCCUAUAAUAUUC